UCCCUUAGUAAUGGCGAACGAACAGGGACCAGCUUGGGUUGGAAACCGGGGCUUCUGCCUUGGAUUGUGGCCUUUAGACAUACUACCAACGGCGGCGCGAGCGUAAGCCUCUUGGAACAGAGCGUCUACGUGAGUGAGAAUCCUGUGUUUCGCUUGAUGCCCGCCGUGCACGGUACUUGCUCUCAGAGUCACGCUCCUCGGAAUUGGAGCGUAAAUUUGGGUGGUAAAUUUCAUCUAAAGCUAAAUACAGGCUCGAGACCGAUAGCAAACAAGUACCAUGAGGGAAAGAUGAAAAGGACUUUGAAAAGAGAGUUAAAAGUGCUUGAAAUCGCUGAACUGGAAACGAAUGGAACUAGUGCUCUGGUUGAGAUUGCUGCAAGUGGCUGCGACAUCAGGACUCUGGAAUGCAAGUCCUUUGUCUGGUUUGAAGUAGUUGCUUGCAAUGUGUCUCAGCUUGAACAUCAACUUCUAUGCAUACGUGAGGAUGGCCCUUGGCUCAUGCUGUAUUGCUGUGGCGAUACUCUUGUGCUUCUGGGGAUUCAGGUGUGUGUGGACUGUUGAUCAAUUAGUUCCAUUCGACCCGUCUUGAAACACGGACCAAGGAGUCUAGCACUUGUGCAAGUUCUCAGGUGUCAAACCUCUGUGCGCAAUGAAGGUGACUGCUGGGAUUUUUUGCACCAGCAACCGACCAAUCAAUUGGGAGAAGUUUGAGUAAGAGCAUGUGUGUUA
RNAcentral lists this ribosomal RNA (729 nucleotides) under Anthopleura kurogane. RNAcentral's name for it is "eukaryotic LSU rRNA". It matches the Rfam family "Eukaryotic large subunit ribosomal RNA", at positions 76 to 811 of the family's 3401-position model. Lineage: Eukaryota; Metazoa; Cnidaria; Anthozoa; Actiniaria; Actiniidae. The record is from RNAcentral.